GCCUCCGUAGCUCAGUUGGUAGAGCAUUACGCUUUUAACGUGAAGGUCCGGGGUUCGAGUCCUUGCGGAGGUA
Transfer RNA from Trichinella zimbabwensis, 73 nucleotides. It matches the Rfam family "tRNA". From Rfam's summary of the family: Transfer RNA (tRNA) molecules are approximately 80 nucleotides in length. The record is from Rfam. Lineage: Eukaryota; Metazoa; Nematoda; Enoplea; Trichinellida; Trichinellidae.